Long non-coding RNA from Haplochromis burtoni (Burton's mouthbrooder), 2395 nucleotides. RefSeq lists it as uncharacterized. The record is from RefSeq and is a predicted model, not a curated record. NCBI's taxonomy places the organism in Eukaryota, Metazoa, Chordata, Actinopteri, Cichliformes, Cichlidae. The transcript is spliced from 3 exons.
GUUCACCAGCCCGUUCACACAUCUUGUCAGGCGGUUUGUGGAGUGCUUUUGUCACGGUUGAACGGUCCUCCCCGGACGACCUCCUUGUUUAUUUGUGAUGUGUGUGCGCCUUCCUCUCUUUCUCUCUUCCUCCCUAUUCUGCGGGUCGGGCUAUGCCUAGGGGUGGCGUCUCCGAGAGAGCGAGAAAGGCCAACCUCUGACCCGGAAGAGUAACCUUCAGCUCCAGCUGCCGCUAAUCAUUCCUCACUACACGGAGGUAUUUAACGGUGUGUCCAGACGGCAGUCGACGCUGGAUUGUACUCUGAGCUCGGUGGAGAAGUACGGGACGGAGGAGUGGAGAAAAGGGAAUCAAUGGUGUUUUCGGGAGGAGGAAUUCACACGGAAGGAGUGCACACCGACCUCACGGGGAAACUCGCCUUCACCACUUUUGGGAUUUAGAGAAAGGACAUUGUUGGAUAUCUCACUGUUUGAAGACUGUAUUUCAAGCACUGUAAAUAAACGCACUGUCGGCUUCAACCCAGAGCUCUGCGCCUGAAUCCAUACCGCUCAUUAGCCCUGACAGCUUUGGCUUCAUCCCAGUUUGCUGCUCGUUCAUAGUGGCAUCUGCUGACCAACACCGCAGAGGAGCAGGGGGUGAAUGUGUGCACAUGUGUCUUUGUCUUUCUAUGUGUCACUAGUGGGUUGGUGAGAGUGAGUAACUGGAUGGUGUCUGUGUGUGCAUGUGUACACUACCAGUCAAAAGUUUGGACAAACCUCCUCUACUGUUUUUUCUUUAUUUUUACUACUACUGCUACAUUGUAGAUACAAACUGAAGACAUCGAAUAUAUGAAGCAAUAUGUGGAAUUAUGUAGCAAAUAAAAAAUUAUAAGUAACUCUAAAUAUGUUUUGUAUUUUAGAUUCCUGAAAGUAGCCACCCUUUGCUUUGUUGACAGUGCUACAAACACUUUGCCUUCUCCCAAUGAGUUUCAUGAUGAUGUCACCUGAAAUGGUUUUGACUUCACAGGUGUCCCUUGACAAGGUUCAUUUGUGAAACUUCUUACCUUCUUAAUGGAGUUGCGACCGUCAGUUGGGUUGUGCAAAAGUUGGGUUGGUACACAGCUGACAGCCCUAUUUGAAACUGUUAGAAUUCAUAUUAUGGCAAGAACCAAUCAAAUAAAGAGAAAUGACAGUCCAUCAUUACUUUAAGAACUGAAGCACUACAACUGGCUCACGCGAGAAUCGUCCCAGGAAAGGAAGACAAAGAGUCACCUCCGCUAGCUGAGGAUAAAUACAUCCGAGUCAUCAGACUCAGAAAUAGGAAGUUAACAGCAUCUCAGAUUAGACCAGAUAAAUGCCACACAGAGCUCCAGUAGCAGACACAUCUCUACAUCAACUGUUCAGAGGAGACUGCAUGAAUCUGGCCUUUAUGGUCAAAUAGCUGCUAAGAAACCAAUACUAAGGAAAAUGUCUCUUACAGAUCCAGCAGUUGGUGAUACAUCGUGCAUUCCUAUUUGUUUCUGUUCCCCCAUUCAACUCCUGAUGAAGGCACUCAUAUGGCCUUUACUGCUUUGUAUUAACAAAAUUGGCCAGCAAAUAUUUACAUAUUUCUCUUUAUUUUCCAGGUCAGAUAGUAAACACAGCUGUUCUUCUCCUGCCAUCUAUUUUCAAAGAAAAUGCCUCUCAUCUCUUCGUCAUAAAUAAGGAUCCACACAGCCCGAUACCUACAAUCGUACUCAGCAGCAGUGACGGCAAGCCCUUGAGUGAUUCAACUGAGGUCAAUGUCCAGAUGGAUGGACAAAAAAUGAUUCUGGACAGUGGGGAAAUGGACAUUUCAUUGGCGAUGGGUAUUGUCUUCUCCCUGUACCAUGUCUACAAUGUUGCCUAUCCAAGUGAACUAAAAAAGACAUUUUGCUUUUUGGAGGCAUUUGUUCUCAACUUGGGAACUCUGACUACACCUGUACCAGUAGCUGUGCAAAGAGUGGCAAAUGCAUUACGUAAAUAUCUCCUAGAUUGCCAGCAUAGUGCAGGUGAGAGACCGAUAUUGUCCCAAUGUGGACUAACAAAGGACCAUGAGUCCUACAUUAAACUUAACUUACAUAACUUAAGGCUGCAGUUCAUUGAUAAUUUAAAUAAAAAGAUUGUUCUUGAAAUAGUUUUACUGAAAAUGCAAACAUGCUGAUGAAAAUGUGUUGUUUAAUUGUCUGUUAUGAAAGUAUUGCUAUUUCUAAUGUAAUAAUUGUUGUUUUAUCUAUAGUAUAAUAUUUAUAUGUAUUUAUUUAUAGUAUAGUAAAGAUAUUUAAUUAUUACUGUUUAAAUGACUUAUAUGCUAUUAUUAGUAGUGGUGUUGUGCUUAGCGUUAAAAUGCCUUUUUGUCUUUUUCUGUAAUACAAAGUGCCAAUAAACCAUUAAUAUAUGU